GUCUCCGUGGCGCAAUCGGUUAGCGCGUUCGACUGUUAAUUGAGAGGUUGGAAGUUCGAGCCUUCCCGGGGACG
Paracoccidioides sp. is the source of this 74-nucleotide transfer RNA. It matches the Rfam family "tRNA". Rfam says of the family: Transfer RNA (tRNA) molecules are approximately 80 nucleotides in length. Their secondary structure includes four short double-helical elements and three loops (D, anti-codon, and T loops). The record is from Rfam. NCBI's taxonomy places the organism in Eukaryota, Fungi, Ascomycota, Eurotiomycetes, Onygenales, Ajellomycetaceae.